CAAUAGCGUAUAUUAAAGUUGUUGCAGUUAAAAAGCUCGUAGUUGGAUUUCUGGUAGGAGUGACCGUUCCGAACUUGAUUGUUCGUGUAUUGUGUUUUCUCCAGCCAUCCUUGUGGAGAACUUUUCUUGCAUUAAUUUGUAGGGAUUGGGACCCGCAUCGUUUACUGUGAAAAAAUUAGAGUGUUUAAAGCAGGCAAUCGCUUGAAUACAUUAGCAUGGAAUAAUAAGAUAGGACUUUGGUACUAUUUUGUUGGUUUGCAUACCAAAUUAAUGAUCAACAGGAACAGUUUGAGGAUAUUCGUAUGAACAUGUCAGAGGUGAAAUUCUUGGAUUUUGAUUAGACGAACUACUGCGAAAGCGUUUAUCAAGGAUGUUUUCAUUAA
RNAcentral lists this ribosomal RNA (383 nucleotides) under uncultured eukaryote. Its description in RNAcentral is "partial 18S ribosomal RNA". It matches the Rfam family "Eukaryotic small subunit ribosomal RNA", at positions 592 to 976 of the family's 1831-position model. The record is from RNAcentral.